UACGUAGGGUGCGAGCGUUAAUCGGAAUUACUGGGCGUAAAGCGUGCGUAGGCGGUCCCGCAAGUCCGCUGUGAAAGCCCCGAGCUCAACUUGGGAACGGCAGUGGAAACUAUGGGACUUGAAUCCGGCAGAGGGGGGUGGAAUGCCACGUGUAGCAGUGAAAUGCGUAGAGAUGUGGCGGAACACCGAUGGCGAAGGCAGCCCCCUGGGCUGAGAUUGACGCUCAGGCACGAAAGCGUGGGGAG
Molecule: ribosomal RNA, 245 nt
Filed under: uncultured bacterium
Lineage: Bacteria
Description: partial 16S ribosomal RNA
Rfam family: Bacterial small subunit ribosomal RNA
Source: RNAcentral